CUUUCUGGAUUAUGUCAGAAUGUCUCUAAAGAAGCUUGGAUUAGAUGAGUCCAAGCUGCCUGAAAAAACUAUAAUGGACUACUAUGAGAAGUAUAAGCCUAGAAUGAAUGAGCUGGAAGCUUUUAAUAUGUUAAAAGUCGUUUUGGCUCCUUGUAUAGAGACAUUGAUUCUUCUGGAUCGACUUUGCUACCUGAAAGAGCAGGAAGAUAUUGCAUGGUCUGCACUUGUGAAGUUAUUUGAUCCUGUGAAAUCUCCCAGAUGUUACGCUGUUAUUGCUCUGAAGAAGCAGCAGUGA
RNAcentral lists this long non-coding RNA (295 nucleotides) under Fukomys damarensis (Damara mole-rat). RNAcentral describes it as "lncRNA (ENSFDAG00000023293.1)". Lineage: Eukaryota; Metazoa; Chordata; Mammalia; Rodentia; Bathyergidae. The record is from RNAcentral.